Molecule: ribosomal RNA, 492 nt
Filed under: uncultured bacterium
Lineage: Bacteria
Description: partial 16S ribosomal RNA
Rfam family: Bacterial small subunit ribosomal RNA
Source: RNAcentral
AGUGAACGCUGGCGGUAGGCCUAACACAUGCAAGUCGAACGGCAGCACAGUAAGAGCUUGCUCUUACGGGUGGCGAGUGGCGGACGGGUGAGGAAUACAUCGGAAUCUACUUUUUCGUGGGGGAUAACGUAGGGAAACUUACGCUAAUACCGCAUACGACCUACGGGUGAAAGCAGGGGAUCUUCGGACCUUGCGCGAUUGAAUGAGCCGAUGUCGGAUUAGCUGGUUGGCGGGGUAAAGGCCCACCAAGGCUACGAACCGUAGCUGGUCUGAGAGGAUGAGCAGCCACACUGGAACUGAGACACGGUCCAGACUACUACGGGAGGCAGCAGUGGGGAAUAUUGGACAAUGGGCGCAAGCCUGAUCCAGCCAUACCGCGUGGGUGAAGAAGGCCUUCGGGUUGUAAAGCCCUUUUGUUGGGAAAGAAAAGCAGCAGGUUAAUACCCCGCUGUUCUGACGGUACCCAAAGAAUAAGCACCGGCUAACUUCGUG